CCCUUAGAUGUUCUGGGCCGCACGCGCGCUACACUGAUUCAUGCAACAAGUUUUGUCCUUGGCCGAUAGGUCUGGGUAAUCUUUGAACGCUGUUCGUGAUUGGGAUAGACCUUUGCAAUUAUGGGUCUUCAACGAGGAAUUCCUAGUAAACGCAAGUCAUCAGCUUGCAUUGAUUACGUCCCUGCCCUUUGUACACACCGCCCGUCGCACCUACCGAUUGAAUGGUCCGGUGAAAUCUCGGGACGGCGGCUUGGUCGCUUGCGUCCGACUGCUGAAACUUGAUUAAACCAUAUCAUUUAGAGGAAGGUGAAGUCGUAACA
This 320-nucleotide ribosomal RNA is filed under the name uncultured eukaryote. RNAcentral describes it as "partial 18S ribosomal RNA". It matches the Rfam family "Eukaryotic small subunit ribosomal RNA", at positions 1470 to 1796 of the family's 1831-position model. The record is from RNAcentral.